RNAcentral lists this ribosomal RNA (1077 nucleotides) under uncultured bacterium. RNAcentral's name for it is "bacterial SSU rRNA". It matches the Rfam family "Bacterial small subunit ribosomal RNA", at positions 207 to 1293 of the family's 1533-position model. The record is from RNAcentral.
CGGAAGGUAUGCUUAAAGAGGGGCUUGCGUCACAUUAGUUAGUUGGCAGGGUAAAGGCCUACCAAGACUAUGAUGUGUAGCUGGACUGAGAGGUUGAACAGCCACAUUGGGACUGAGACACGGCCCAAACUCCUACGGGAGGCAGCAGUAGGGAAUUUUCGGCAAUGGAGGAAACUCUGACCGAGCAACGCCGCGUGAACGAUGAAGUAUUUCGGUAUGUAAAGUUCUUUUAUUGAAGAAGAAAAAAUAGUGGAAAAACUAUCUUGACGAUAUUCAAUGAAUAAGCCCCGGCAAACUAUGUGCCAGCAGCCGCGGUAAUACAUAGGGGGCGAGCGUUAUCCGGAAUUAUUGGGCGUAAAGGGUGCGUAGGCGGUUUAAUAAGUCUAUAGUUUAAUUUCAGUGCUUAACACUGUCCUGCUAUAGAAACUAUUAGACUAGAGUGAGAUAGAGGCAAGUGGAAUUCCAUGUGUAGCGGUAAAAUGCGUAAAUAUAUGGAGGAACACCAGAGGCGUAGGCGGCUUGCUGGGUCUUUACUGACGCUGAGGCACGAAAGCGUGGGGAGCAAACAGGAUUAGAUACCCUGGUAGUCCACGCCGUAAACGAUGAGUACUAAGUGUCGGGAUUACUCGGUACUGAAGUUAACACAUUAAGUACUCCGCCUGAGUAGUACGUACGCAAGUAUGAAACUUAAAGGAAUUGACGGGACUCCGCACAAGCGGUGGAUCAUGUUGUUUAAUUCGAAGAUACACGAAAAACCUUACCAGGUCUUGACAUACUCUGCAAAGCUAUAGCAAUAUAGUGGAGGUUAUCAGGGAUACAGGUGGUGCAUGGUUGUCGUCAGCUCGUGUCGUGAGAUGUUAGGUUAAGUCCUAAAACGAGCGCAACCCUUGUCAUUAGUUGCCAGCAUGUCAUGAUGGGCACUUUAAUGAGACUGCCAAUGAAAAAUUGGAGGAAGGUGAGGAUCACGUCAAAUCAUCAUGCCCCUUAUGAUCUGGGCUACAAACGUGAUACAAUGGCUGUUACAAAGAGUAGCUGAAACGCAAGUUUAUAGCCAAUCUCAUAAAAGCAGUCUCAGUU